GAUGAACGCUGGCGGCGUGCUUAACACAUGCAAGUCGAACGGAAAGGCUCCUGCUUGCAGGGGUACUCGAGUGGCGAACGGGUGAGUAACACGUGGGUGAUCUGCCCUGCACUUCGGGAUAAGCCUGGGAAACUGGGUCUAAUACCGGAUAGGACGAUGGUUUGGAUGCCAUUGUGGAAAGUUUUUGCGGUGUGGGAUGAGCUCGCGGCCUAUCAGCUUGUUGGUGGGGUAAUGGCCUACCAAGGCGUCGACGGGUAGCCGGCCUGAGAGGGUGUACGGCCACAUGGGGACUAAGAUACGGCCCAGACGCCAACGGGAGGCAGCAGGGGGGAAUAUUGCGCAAUGGGGGCAAGCCUGAUGCAGCGAUGCCGCGUGGGGGAUGACGGCCUUCGGGUUGUAAACACCUGUCGCUGGGGACGAAGCGGAAUUGACGGUACCUGGAGAAGAAGCACCGGCUAACUACGUG
Molecule: ribosomal RNA, 466 nt
Filed under: uncultured bacterium
Lineage: Bacteria
Description: partial 16S ribosomal RNA
Rfam family: Bacterial small subunit ribosomal RNA
Source: RNAcentral